AAAAAUUUAGUUAAGUGAUAACAUUAGUUUGUCGGACUGAAAUGAUUAAUCUAAUUUAAUAGUUUUUA
This 68-nucleotide transfer RNA is filed under the name Staphylinidae sp. BMNH 1274241. RNAcentral's name for it is "tRNA-Asp". The record is from RNAcentral. Lineage: Eukaryota; Metazoa; Arthropoda; Insecta; Coleoptera; Staphylinidae.